This 156-nucleotide ribosomal RNA is filed under the name Enterococcus sp. enrichment culture DGGE gel band 3. RNAcentral describes it as "partial 16S ribosomal RNA". It matches the Rfam family "Bacterial small subunit ribosomal RNA", at positions 335 to 485 of the family's 1533-position model. Lineage: Bacteria; Bacillati; Bacillota; Bacilli; Lactobacillales; Enterococcaceae. The record is from RNAcentral.
ACUCCUACGGGAGGCAGCAGUAGGGAAUCUUCGGCAAUGGACGAAAGUCUGACCGAGCAACGCCGCGUGAGUGAAGAAGGUUUUCGGAUCGUAAAACUCUGUUGUUAGAGAAGAACAAGGAUGAGAGUAACUGUUCAUCCCUUGACGGUUGGGCCG